RNAcentral lists this ribosomal RNA (636 nucleotides) under uncultured Chlorophyta. RNAcentral's name for it is "bacterial SSU rRNA". It matches the Rfam family "Bacterial small subunit ribosomal RNA", at positions 992 to 1381 of the family's 1533-position model. Lineage: Eukaryota; Viridiplantae; Chlorophyta. The record is from RNAcentral.
AAGAAAAGCCAGAUAUCGAUUUUAUUGGAUAUAGAAAAUUGAAUAUGCCCGGUAUAACACGUUGGCUCUUGUAACACUAUUUUGAAAAAGAUAGUAACAAGAUGAAGGUAUAGUCUAUUCCUUAUAGUAAUAUASGGGUUUAUUGCAGUAAAUCAUGGUUUUUUCCUUUCGGAAAACAAUUAUCUCCCGAAGGGAGAUCCAACAAUUAUUGUGCUUCUUUUGUUUUACGUAGUAAAACAACAACAAUAAUGUAAAAGAAUACAAAACUGUAUUUUCUKGAAYACAAAAUGUGUAAUUUACCUGGUUACUGUAAACAUUGGAGAUGUUUGGUUAAGUCCUUUAACGAGCGCAACCCUUUUGAAAUGUUGGUAGUAAAGAAUAACUCUUUAACCACUCUUUUCAUACUGCCGGUUAUAUACUGGAGGAAGGGAAGGAUAACGUCAAGUCGUCAUGACCCUUAUGGGCUGGGCUACACRCGUGUUACAAUGGUAAUUACAAAGGGAAGCAAUGGUGCGAAUCGGAGCGAAUCCUUAAAAAUUACCUCAGUUCGGAUUGUUCUCUGCAAUUCGAGAACAUGAAGAUGGAAUCACUAGUAAUCGUGGAUCAGCACGCCACGGUGAAUCUGUACCUGAGCCU